This 286-nucleotide long non-coding RNA is filed under the name Astyanax mexicanus (Mexican tetra). RNAcentral describes it as "WT1 antisense RNA conserved region 7 (ENSAMXG00000026592.2)". It matches the Rfam family "WT1 antisense RNA conserved region 7". Lineage: Eukaryota; Metazoa; Chordata; Actinopteri; Characiformes; Acestrorhamphidae. The record is from RNAcentral.
GGAAAAAUAAAGUCAUAAAGCAUACUCUGACUUGACAUGACUUUAGCCUGCCAUCAUUUUGCACACUGUGACCAUCCUGUAACCAGUUAACCGAGAUACAUCUCAAUUUGUCCGGCGCUCAGGCCUCAGCUGCAGCCGGAAGUGUUGGCCUAGGAGUAGGACAUGGAUAAGCAGAGGCAGCAGAGCUUGUUAAAUUGAUGAGUUGAGAUGUGCUCUUACUUCACCAUCUGGAAUUCUAGUCUAGAGUUCUGCUGAAAGCUGCUGACCUGGGACUCAACUCUUCAAC